UCCUUAGAUGUUCUGGGCCGCACGCGCGCUACACUGAUGCAUUCAACGAGUCUAAAACCUGCUCUGAUAGGGGUGGGUAAUCUUUUGAAUGUGCAUCGUGAUUGGGAUAGAUGAUUGCAAUUUUUCAUCUUCAACGAGGAAUGCCUAGUAAACGCAAGUCAUCAGCUUGCAUUGAUUACGUCCCUGCCCUUUGUACACACCGCCCGUCGCUCCUACCGAUUGAAUGAUCCGAUGAAUAUCAUGGAUUGAGGAUGUAAGCAGGUUCGCCUGUCUUCAUCUUCGAGAAGUGAAGUAAAUCUUAUCAUUUAGAGGAAGGAGAAGUCGUAACA
Molecule: ribosomal RNA, 329 nt
Filed under: uncultured eukaryote
Lineage: Eukaryota
Description: partial 18S ribosomal RNA
Rfam family: Eukaryotic small subunit ribosomal RNA
Source: RNAcentral